Molecule: ribosomal RNA, 513 nt
Filed under: uncultured bacterium
Lineage: Bacteria
Description: bacterial SSU rRNA
Rfam family: Bacterial small subunit ribosomal RNA
Source: RNAcentral
GUUGAUCAUGGCUCAGGAUGAACGCUAGCGAUAGGCUUAACACAUGCAAGUCGAGGGGCAGCACGGUGUAGCAAUACACUGGUGGCGACCGGCGUACGGGUGCGUAACACGUAUGCAACCUACCCGCUAUGGGGGAUAACCCGGCGAAAGUCGGACUAAUACCCCAUAUUAUUCUUACCGGGCAUCCGGUAGGUCUGAAAGAUUUAUCGAUUGCGGAUGGGCAUGCGGAUGAUUAGCUAGUAGGUGGGGUAACGGCUCACCUAGGCGACGAUCAUUAGGGGUUCUGAGAGGAAGGUCCCCCACACUGGAACUGAGACACGGUCCAGACUCCUACGGGAGGCAGCAGUGAGGAAUAUUGGUCAAUGGGCGCUAGCCUGAACCAGCCAAGUCGCGUGAAGGAUGAAAGGUCCUAUGGAUUGUAAACUUCUUUUGCAGGAGGGUAAAGUGAGCUACGUGCAGUUCAUUGCAAGUACCCUGCGAAUAAGCAUCGGCUAACUCCGUGCCAGCAGCAGC